UAGGGAAUCUUCCACAAUGGGCGAAAGCCUGAUGGAGCAACGCCGCGUGUGUGAUGAAGGGUUUCGGCUCGUAAAACACUGCUGUAAGAGAAGAAUGACAUUGAGAGUAACUGUUCAAUGUGUGACGGUAUCUUACCAGAAAGGAACGGCUAAAUACGUGCCAA
RNAcentral lists this ribosomal RNA (164 nucleotides) under uncultured bacterium. RNAcentral's name for it is "partial 16S ribosomal RNA". It matches the Rfam family "Bacterial small subunit ribosomal RNA", at positions 355 to 511 of the family's 1533-position model. The record is from RNAcentral.